AGAGAGAGAUUGAGGAUGAUAGUGGUAUUUUGAUGAUUAAUAUAAUGAUUAAGAGUAUGUUACGAGUUAAUUUGAUACAUCAUUAAUAAGUCCGUCACUCUCGAUACAUUAGUAUAAUGAGAUAAAGAUGCAUUUCAUUGAUUAUUAAUGAGAUAAAAUUUGCGAUAGGAAAGGGAUAGUGAAUUCUAAAAUUCUAAUUCGGCAAAGCUUCAAGUGAGACAUACUCUUAAGUGGACAAUAGUAAUUUUCAUUGUUUGGAGUAUGUAGCACUACCAUGACAUAUAUUCAAAAUUGCUUAAAGUUUAUUUCAUUGAUUACAUGGAUGAAUCUAACCUUAAGUUGCAGCAAAGUGCGGAUUGAGUCGACCCCAUGAUUGAUUGAGUCGACCCCGGCACAUCAAGAAACCAUCUGGCACACUUCUGCAAAAAUGACACGGAUGAACAGUACUUGGGUCGACCCAAGCAAAGGAUGAGUCGACCCAAUCCUUAAGCCUCAAGAAAACAGUUCUCUGGAAACCCUGAGAGGGUCGACCCAAAUGAAACUUGAGUCGACCCAAACUUGAGUCGACCCCAAGUUAACAUGAGUCGACCCAAAGGCAAUGACAUUCAAAAAUAGGUUCUCUGAAAAACCUGAGAGGGUCGACCCAAGUGGAAGUUGAGUCGACCCAACUGAACCUUGAGUCGACCCAAAAAGUGUUGAGUCGACCCAAGUGAAGGAAGGCUGAAAUACAAGGUUCUGUGGUUUCUGAGAGGGUCGACCCCAAUGAUGCUUGAGUCGACCCAAGUGAAAGUUGGGUCGACCCCAGUAAAAUUUGAGUCGACCCAAGCACGGGCAGAAGCAUAACGGCUAGUUCCGCAGAAAUAC
RNAcentral lists this long non-coding RNA (864 nucleotides) under Phoenix dactylifera (date palm). Its description in RNAcentral is "long non-coding RNA (PDAC_LNC007727)". Lineage: Eukaryota; Viridiplantae; Streptophyta; Magnoliopsida; Arecales; Arecaceae. The record is from RNAcentral.